Anneissia japonica is the source of this 188-nucleotide long non-coding RNA. RefSeq lists it as uncharacterized. The record is from RefSeq and is a predicted model, not a curated record. NCBI's taxonomy places the organism in Eukaryota, Metazoa, Echinodermata, Crinoidea, Comatulida, Comatulidae. The transcript has 4 exons.
AGGUAAAUCAGGAAAAUUUAAACAUCCAAGAAAAAUGCGAAGAUUUGACAAAGGGUUUGGAGAAGCAUCAACAUCAAAAAGACCAAAGUUAGACAAAGGUAAAUCAGGAAAAUUUAAACAUCCAAGAAAAAUGCGAAGAUUUAACAAAGGUAUUGGCGAAGCAUCAAUAUCGAAACAACCAAAGUUAG